Molecule: ribosomal RNA, 48 nt
Filed under: Colletotrichum gloeosporioides
Lineage: Eukaryota; Fungi; Ascomycota; Sordariomycetes; Glomerellales; Glomerellaceae
Description: partial 18S ribosomal RNA
Source: RNAcentral
GGCUUCUGCCUCCGGGCGGGUCGGCGCCCGCCGGAGGAUAACCAAACU